GUGUACUGUGUGAAGUGUGUGAAUAGUGAAGACUAAACCGUUAUCAUGACGGAACCACAAGCAGAAGACGAACAAGAAAAUCUUACGGCAGUGAUUGCAGUAGUUGAUGAAUCGAAUUCGGCCGAUGUUCCGAAUUUGAAGGGUGAUUGGCAUAACAUUUUUGUAUUGAUAUUGCUGUACACAAUGCAAGGAAUUGGUACCAGUUUAACCACAGGAGUGCCGAUUAUUUUGCAAGCCAAUAAAAACGUAACUUACAAAGACCAGGCUUUAAUUAGUAUGGCGACAUGGCCAUUUAGCUUAAAAAUGAUGUGGGCACCUUUAGUGGACGCCAUCUAUAUACAAAAGGUAGGAAGACGAAAAUCUUGGCUAUUACCAGUUCAAUUUUUAAUCGGUGGGUGCUUCAUUUAUAUGGGAAUAAAUAUUGAAGAUUGGAUAGCUACAAAUAGGGGAAAGCCAAAUAUAUUAAAACUGUUUUAUCCGAUUUUAUUCGUUCAAGCUUUGAUAGCUACGCAAUUCAUAGUCAUCGACAGUUGGGUACUAACAAUGCUAAAGAAGAAUAACCUGGGUUACGGGCCAAGUUGCACUUUAAUAGGUGUACCGUUUGGUGCAUUGAUUGGCUCUUUAUUUCUCGUUGGGUUCACGUCAGAGAAUUUUUGUAAUAAGUACCUACGAUUUACACCGGAUACAGGAGGAAUAACCACUAUGCCAGGUUUUUUUUAUUUUUGUGGUUUUCUUUUCAUUGUAACAUCAAUAUUAAUUGGCAUUUUCAAAAAAGAAAAAUAUAACAGUUUAGAAAACACCUACAUGAAACUUAAUAUUAUUCAGUAUUAUACUGUUGUGUGGGAAAUUUUAAAGCUACCGAGUAUCCGUGUAUUGGCUAGUGCACUGAUAACAGUGGAGAUUGGAUUUUCUUCGUCUAUCAUUAAUGUGUGGAUUUUACAACUCAUUGACGCAGGAGUAUCAAAAGAUAAUGUUUUAGUUAUACAUUCAUCAAUGAUUAUAGUAAGAGUCAUUGCACCAAUUAUUAUAUCAAAAUACACCGCAGGACCUAAAACAAUGAGCGUAUACUUAAAGAUGUCACCCAUCAGAGCAAUGUGGAACAUUACAUUUGUUAUAUUUAUAUAUUAUACUACAAAAUUCAUAACAACUAAUGGGAAAAUAGGUUUUCCAAUAUAUUUCUAUGUAAUUAUAGUAUUUCUUUUCAUAAUUAAUCACAUUCUAGGAAUGACUAUGAGAUCAGCUAAAUUUACUUUAUUUAAUCGUAUAAGUGAUCCUCGUUUUGGUGGUACUUACAUGGCAUUAUUAAAUACUUUUUCAAAUAUCGGGAUAUCGUCAUCGACUUCGCUUGCAAUUUCAAUGAUAGAUUUUUUAACUUUCAAAGAAUGUUCAUUAAAUUAUGAUAACAAUUGUUCUACAUCAAGUCCGAACAACACGUGUAAAACAAAUGGAAGAAGUUGCAUUGUAACAGUUAACGGCUAUUACGUAGAAUCGGCUCUGUGUAUAUUGUUUGGAAUCGGAUGGUACUAUAUUUUCAGAGGUAUUCUUAAAAAACUCCAAGUUAAGAACCCUUCCCAUUGGAUGGUCAAUGUAAAAAACAAUAAAGUGAAGAAAAAUAAAACGGCUGAACACACAAUGGUCGAAAACUCAUAGUAAAGUAUAUUUUAGUCAACGGUUGAAAACGAAAACGAUAUUUAAACAUUGCAAAUCAGCACGAAAAAUAAGAUCCUAACCUAACGUAGGUACCUACACCAAGCUUCGAACGCACCGACACUGCUGCCGUCAAACAAAUCGCCGAACACCGGUUGCUCCCGUACGAUAAAGAUCGUCAAUCGGUGACCUAUGUAGGCGGCAUGCCACCUCGCACGUUCUUCGGUCACCGACGGCGGCGUGACAUGAUCGCGAGCGUCCUUUACUCAGGUGCACGCGUGCUAGACACUCUGGUGGCUUUGGCGAGACACGUUGGCGGAUGUGGCAGGUCGGCUGUUAGGAAUAGCGUUAGACAGCGUAACACGGCGAUCUGCACGUCGACGUUUCGAAUAGCACCGCCCUCCAGGGCCUAUCACGUUAACCGAUGCAGGACGACGCGCGAAUCGGAGGCCAAUAAUACUCUCACCCCGCGACCCACCAAAAUACGCCGUCGACAGACACCAGUCGGUCGCGAAAGUAUAUCGUCAUCACGAUUGACGACCCGUGGAGAUGAGUCGCAAUGAAUUAGUGAGAGACACGUCAGCGGAAGUGGCAGGUCGGCUGGCCCAACGUAUAGUGUUAUUGCGGCCAGCGCCAUAAACAGCAGUUGCCCCAUUAUGUAGGGCGAUUAUCCAAACAGUUGUAGCACAAGAGAGUGUAAUACGGUGAUCUGCACGUCACCGUCCUCCCGGGCCCAUCACUUUAUCCGAUACCGGACGACGCACGACGAGGACCGGUAGUGUUUUGGUGUACUCGAAAUAAGAGCGUCGACCGGUGACCGGUGCAGGUGGUAGUCACGGUAGUCACUUCGCACGUUCACCGGUCACCGCGACGGCGUUACGUGAUCGCGAGCGUCAUAUUUUACUCAGGUGCACACGCGCCACUAGACACUCUGGCGGCCCGGCGGGCGCUGUCGGCUUUGAUCGCGCGGUGCGACAGACGACUGCGACGGGCGCGCGACAACGGGACUUCCGGUAUACCGACGACGGUGAUGGCGAUGGCUUAUUGCGGCGGUUCGCAGAACGCGCGGGCCGUGUCUUGUUCCGGAAAUAGACGUCAGCUGUGCCGGCGACCCGCGGUAGACGUGGUUUCCGGGUACGGUGCUGAUGCGCGACAUCGGCGGCGAUGGUUAUAGAACAGUGCACAGUGCAGUCAUACGCAGUAAUUUAAUCCGUGCGACGGUUGGCCACCGAUUUUACAUGGCUUCACUCGUUUGUACGUUGCCAUCGUUAUCGCACGCUAAAGCCGGUCGAUGUCUAUCGCUAUUAAGCAACCAUUACGCAUCACCGACUCCCAUAAAACGCUUCCAGAACACUAUUUGCGGAAUGAAAUCUGUCGUCGCGUAAAAUCAUUUUAGUUUUGGAUUGACUGACGUUUAAGAUAGUAACACGUCCGGUGGGAAGUGUGUGUAACUAAAACCAUAUAGAAUGUAUGCUGCAAAAUUAUAUGCGUUUAACUGGAGUUGUGUAUAAACGUCAUGCGCUCGUUCGAAAAACUUAUAUGAUAUUAUUUUUUAAUAAGUA
Rhopalosiphum maidis (corn leaf aphid) is the source of this 3209-nucleotide RNA transcript. It is a transcript of the gene named acetyl-coenzyme A transporter 1-like, with no coding region annotated. The record is from RefSeq and is a predicted model, not a curated record. The transcript has 11 exons. NCBI's taxonomy places the organism in Eukaryota, Metazoa, Arthropoda, Insecta, Hemiptera, Aphididae.